This 430-nucleotide ribosomal RNA is filed under the name uncultured bacterium. RNAcentral's name for it is "partial 16S ribosomal RNA". It matches the Rfam family "Bacterial small subunit ribosomal RNA", at positions 29 to 506 of the family's 1533-position model. The record is from RNAcentral.
AACGAACGCUGGCGGCAGGCUUAACACAUGCAAGUCGAGCGCCCCGCAAGGGGAGCGGCAGACGGGUGAGUAACGCGUGGGAACGUACCUUUUGGUUCGGAACAACUCCGGGAAACUGGAGCUAAUACCGGAUAAGCCCUAACGGGGAAAGAUUUAUCGCCGAAAGAUCGGCCCGCGUCUGAUUAGCUAGUUGGUGAGGUAACGGCUCACCAAGGCGACGAUCAGUAGCUGGUCUGAGAGGAUGAUCAGCCACACUGGGACUGAGACACGGCCCAGACUCCGCGGGGGGGGAGGAGUGGGAAAUAUUGGAAAGGGGGCGCAGGCCUGAUCCAGCCAUGCCGGGGGGGUGAUGAAGGCUUUGGGGUUGAAAAGCUCUUUUGUCCGGGAAGAUAAUGACUGUACCGGAAAAAUAAGCCCCGGCUAACUUCGU